UUUCUUGGACUCCAAACAGUUAUUGUUUUCACAACUGCAGCCAGCAGGGCAUUAGUGUUGGAGAUGGAGAAAGCAGAUCACUCCAGCAGUUCAUCAUGUGCUCACUUAAUGGCUCCCUUUCUACUGUCUCUCCCUUAACUCUCUCAACCAUAUGGAUUCGAGGACAAAGACAUUACGUUUAUGCUAAUGACAACAGCCAUGUGCAGACAAAGGACUGCAAAGGUGUACCUGUACCAUGAUAAAGAGACUGUGAAUACCAUAGCCUAAAUGUGAAAAUCCGGAUGCGGGGAGGGUGGGCAUGUGAGUAUGUUUAUGUGUCUGUGUUUGUUCCAUCAGAGGAGAAUGUGACAUUUGAAGGACGAGAGACUCUUUUCAUACUGGAAACUGGAAACGUAGAAGCCGUUUUCAUUUUAUUUUAUGCACUUCACAGGGAACAGAGAGGCAGAAAGACAGAGCGGCAAAUGGGAAGCUUGGAAGGGACACAGAGAGGGAAGUCAGAUAGCAAAAAGUGGAGAACACAAACAGACAGAACAUAAAGGUGGGUGAAGGGCAAACAAGAUGCAUUACAGUGUCCUGUUUAUUAAUCAGUAGCGCUGCUGUUACUCCCCAGAACUUGAGAUAAGUAUUAAGACAGGGUUUUAAGGUGGCACAUCACACCAAAAACUUCCCAGCAUCCCUUCUGCUAGCAAAUGUUGACGUAUCGUUCUGCUGACACAAGUCAGCUGAUUGCUGUGUCACGGCAAUGGUUUUAGGCAAGUGGCAGCGCUCCGGCUACAGACGUAGAGUCUUUUUUUCCUCCCAGACGCACUGCGGCACAGCCAGACGACUAGAGUGGAGGCACAGGAGCUCACAGCUGCAGUCUACUGGCUUGUUUCGGGGAGGCAGAGGAGCCGAGCACUUCCUCUCGAAAUACCGUCGCUCUGCUUAUUUUUGCCGUUGAGGGAUCAUUUUCAUUGGGGCAGAUAGUAGAGCCAAGAAAGAAGACAAACUCUGAGUCCAACAACUUGGAAUUAACGUUGGUCUCAUUUGUAGACAGGAAAUUUGGAGAAGCGAGCUGGAUCUUAAUUUUUUUAGGGGUUGCUGACGCCAUCGCUUGCGAGCACCAGACCAGGUUCCUAGGCUGAGAAGUUGGUGCUAAAAGCUUGGAUUCCAGUCCGUCACCUGUCCGUCCCGUCAUAAACCCGUCCCACACGAGACGUCCAGUCAGUCGGGCCCAUCUGCAUUUCCAUUUGCGCCGACCAUCCAAAGCAGCUCCUCUGCUUCAAGGUUAAGGUGGCUUUCGGUCCUAGACUUAGUCCUUGUCCAGAGGGCAGGGCAGAGGCGAACAGAAACAGCGAAGCAGCAGCUAAGCAGAGCUCAGCCAGACAGACGCGGUGACCUAAAUCAGCCCCAGUCAUGUCUGGACGCAGCCAGAGCAAGGCAGACGGAGAGGAAGACAGAGCGAGAGAGAGAGGGAGAGAGCGACCCAAACGUACCGACUUGAACAUAUACUCACACUACGUAAACGGCCGGAUAAAAGGCGGGCUGAAGUGAGUUGGUCAGACAGGCCUUGCCAAACCCACAGGCUGUUCUGCUGCUUUGCUACCGCUGUGGUGUUUUGAUGUGCGCUACUGUGCAGAUGCAGUUUUUGGGCGGUCACCAACAAGCUACUGUACAGGAGGAGACUCUGGGAAAGUAAGGGAUAUCUUUCAAGUAAGAAAAUCCUGCUCCAGUGUGCCACAAGUCAUUGGAGAAGACAGGGCUUUGGAAGGAGAAAGGAAACCUUUAUUUUUUCUGUCCACAGAGAAGUAUAUGAAGGCAUAAAUUCAUAAUGUCUCUCCAAGAAAUGUAUAUUCAAACCAAAAAUUAUUCAGACACCAGAUACCAUUUUUUGAUAUUGUUUUAUUUUUUUUACUAGUGGGUGCAGGAUACUUGUUUAUUUGUGUUAAGUGAGGAUAGCAAAAUAAAGAAAACUGUGACAUAUUAUACCUAAAAAUUCUUUAUACAGUGGACUACCCAACAAAUUUGGGACCAAAAAUUAUUAUCACUUUGACCUAACCAUGUUUUUCUUAAGUUUUUUCCUUUAAUUGCUAAUGUGACAUUUUAUACCAUAGACCCCCCUUCCUCAAAUCUUAGGGCCGUUUCAUAGUCUAAACAGUAAACGCAAGCGUCACGAGUGAUGCGUGUAUGCAAUACACCGCUCACGCA
Long non-coding RNA from Carassius auratus (goldfish), 2187 nucleotides. RefSeq lists it as uncharacterized. The transcript is spliced from 3 exons. The record is from RefSeq and is a predicted model, not a curated record. Lineage: Eukaryota; Metazoa; Chordata; Actinopteri; Cypriniformes; Cyprinidae.